UUACCAUUUAUAAUCUUUAUUCAAAUAAAACAUGCAUUUAAAAAGAUGAAACAGCAUUCUCUUGCAGGACUUCUGUGACAACAAAAUUGUAAAGAACAAAUAAGAAAAAAACUUUUGUUAAAAUGUCCAAGUAUUUAAAGCAUACACAAAUACAAGAAGCUUAAACUCUCUUGUAAAAACAUAAAUGUCUGUCUAGAGAGCUAAGAAAAUUUUUUUUUUGCUAGAACACAAAAUAAAUGGGAGGAAGGGGGGGGUCAAUGUGAAAACAAGAAAAAGGUGUAAUCCUGUUCUGAAAUAAUUAAAAUUGUGACACAGUGGGUGUGGAAAUCACAUUUUUAAAAAAGUCAAAAAAACAUUUAAAAGACACUUGGAUUAAAAUCAAGAUUUUACUCAAAAUAAAACUAAGCAUUAUUGUUCUGUGGAACAUAGAGAUCUACUUGUCAGCUGUUUUGGAGUCCAAUCUAGUUCAAAGAAAGAAAUGCUUUGUUUUGCUUGGUUUAAACCAGAAAGACUUGUAACAAAGCUAUUUCUCACUGCUUUGAAUAUUUUCAUUUGCUUUUAAACCAAAAACUCCAACUAUUUACAGUUUGAAAUUACCUGACAUAAUUGUAUAGAGUUAUUAAAAAGUAUUUCAUCGAUUGGUUGACUUAAGGUUAUGCUGCCCAUCAAUAUAUGAAAACAAAGUAACUUAUGUUUAGAUUUUCUCCCACCCCCUGCCCAACCAUCCCCUUCCCUGCUGGAGCAGAUGUAUUCUAUUUACAAUAAUGUGGGUUUACAACAGUUUCAUAAGGAAAUAAAAUCAACCUGUACAAUAAAAAAAAAGGGGGGAACUACUCUCAUUUCAGAGAGGCUGUCUCACACAAUUUUACUGAGAGGAAAUAAAUACUUGCACACCCCACCAGGAGCACAGAGGGAAAUGCAAAAAUUCUAAAAGGUCUUGAUUUAGUGGUGAAGAGAAAUACAUAACUUUCUUUUUCAUUCAGUCUUUGCAUUGGUUCCAAAGAAGAUUAAGACUUUAAAAGCUGUUUUUGAAUCAAUGUUUUGAGCUUUGCCCUCCUGAACAAGUUGGGGUUGGGGUGCAUGUUAUUAGAUAAUCAUUCACUAUCUACUCCAGGCAGUCUUUUCAAAGUCCUUGGACUUAAUAUGCUUAUUACAGCAAGGCACAAAACUACUUUAUAAAGUUAAAAACAUUUGUCUACCAGACUUGACCAACAACAUACAUAAACAAAUAAAAUCAUUAUCUUUCUUCAUAUGGUCACAAUGUCAAGGCAAUGCCUUUGUUUAUUUGCAGCAGAAAUAAAAUCUUUAUUCGAUUCACUAAUAAGUAUAUUUCUAUAAUACAAGUUGCCUACUUCUAUUGUGAAGAAAAACAUAGUCGGCAAAAAAAAUGCCAAUGGAUCACAAUUAGACUUAGCAAUGCUGAAUUCUUGGAAGACCACAUUUUUUUUUAAAUUUUGCACUUCACAAAGUGUAUAACCAAUGGACAACACUCCAGAUACAUCACACCUAAUUUGUUAAAAGUCUGAGUAGUAAAUUUGUACCAUGUAGCUGGUUCAGUUGUUGCUUUGUUCUGAAGUUUCAAAUGAAAUUUAAACAUCCUGAAGACAUAAUCAGAUUGUCAAGGGAAAAAAAACAAACAGAUAAAUACUGAGUUGUGAGUAACAAGUCAAUCAACUGGUUGUCAAAACAUAGUACACAUUUCAUGAUUUCAAUACAUCUGAUCCAAGUACAUUUCCAGUGCUUGAUUCACCAAUUUGUUUCAAUGGAAUGUGUCUUCACUUCAAAUGGUUACAAACUAUUUGUCCCUUAUGAGAGAUUUCAAUAUGAACUGGGGCACUUAGUGAAUGGCAUUUGUGAGUCUGGAAAUAUUCAAAAAGAAACAAUGACUUGGGUGUUGAAUUCACUCCUGUUAGCAGAGAGAUAAUAAUAGAAUGUAAUACUUAGCAGAACAUACAAUCAACAUGAGGGUCUGUGGUAGCAUGAUAUACUGCAAUGGACACAAUAGUAUCAACAGAUAACUCUUGCUGGGUAAAGAAGCACAGAAUCAGGUGAUAUAAAAGUCUUAGGGAUGAAAAUUAAGAAAUUAUAUUACUACAAAAUAAAGCUCUGUAACAGAAUUCCUGUGAUUGUCACAUUGUAAAAAUAAAAUAAUCGUGGUUUGAAAAAAAAAAAAAAAAAAAU
Molecule: non-coding RNA, 2181 nt
Organism: Biomphalaria pfeifferi
Lineage: Eukaryota; Metazoa; Mollusca; Gastropoda; Planorbidae
Source: the annotation of a GenBank genome assembly